CAAUAGCGUAUAUUAAAGUUGUUGCAGUUAAAAAGCUCGUAGUUGGAUUUCUGGUGGGAGCGAUCGGUCUGGCGCUUAGCGCGAGUACUUGCAUCGUCUCCGGCCAUCCUUGGGGAGAGUCUGUCUGGCAUUAAGUUGUCGGGCAGAGGAUCCUCAUCGUUUACUGUGAAAAAAUUAGAGUGUUCAAAGCAGGCUUAUGCCGUUGAAUAUAUUAGCAUGGAAUAAUAAGAUAGGACUUUGGUACUGUUUUGUUGGUUUGCGCACCAAAGUAAUGAUUAAUAGGGACAGUUGGGGGUAUUCGUAUUCCGUUGUCAGAGGUGAAAUUCUUGGAUUUACGGAAGACGAACUACUGCGAAAGCAUUUACCAAGGAUGUUUUCAUUGA
This 383-nucleotide ribosomal RNA is filed under the name uncultured eukaryote. RNAcentral's name for it is "partial 18S ribosomal RNA". It matches the Rfam family "Eukaryotic small subunit ribosomal RNA", at positions 592 to 976 of the family's 1831-position model. The record is from RNAcentral.